UACAGAGGUCUCAAGCGUUGUUCGGAUUUAUUGGGCGUAAAGGGUGCGCAGGCGGUGUGGUAAGUCUGGUGUGAAAUCCUGGGGCUCAACCCCAGAAAUGCACUGGAUACUGCCAUGCUAGAGGACUGGAGAGGAGAUUGGAAUUCACGGUGUAGCAGUGAAAUGCGUAGAUAUCGUGAGGAAGACCAGUGGCGAAGGCGAAUCUCUGGACAGUUCCUGACGCUCAUGCACGAAGGCUAGGGGAGCAAACGGG
Molecule: ribosomal RNA, 253 nt
Filed under: uncultured bacterium
Lineage: Bacteria
Description: partial 16S ribosomal RNA
Rfam family: Bacterial small subunit ribosomal RNA
Source: RNAcentral